This 253-nucleotide ribosomal RNA is filed under the name uncultured bacterium. RNAcentral describes it as "partial 16S ribosomal RNA". It matches the Rfam family "Bacterial small subunit ribosomal RNA", at positions 524 to 776 of the family's 1533-position model. The record is from RNAcentral.
UACAGAGGUCCCGAGCGUUGUUCGGAUUCACUGGGCGUAAAGGGUGCGUAGGUGGUGGAUUAAGUCGGGUGUGAAAUCUCCGGGCUCAACCCGGAGGGUGCGCCCGAAACUGAUCCGCUCGAGGAUGGGAGGGGAGACUGGAAUUCUCGGUGUAGCAGUGAAAUGCGUAGAUAUCGAGAGGAACACCGGUGGCGAAGGCGAGUCUCUGGACCAUUCCUGACACUGAGGCACGAAAGCCGGGGGAGCAAACAGG